This 300-nucleotide ribosomal RNA is filed under the name uncultured Pyrobaculum sp. Its description in RNAcentral is "bacterial SSU rRNA". It matches the Rfam family "Bacterial small subunit ribosomal RNA", at positions 496 to 795 of the family's 1533-position model. The record is from RNAcentral. Lineage: Archaea; Thermoproteati; Thermoproteota; Thermoprotei; Thermoproteales; Thermoproteaceae.
GAGAACGAGGUGGAUGGAGCCGCGGGAAUGGGUAGGGAGGAAGCGUUAGCCGGAGUUACUGGGUGGAAAGGGAGCGUAGACGGCGUAGCAAGGCCGAUGUGAAAACCGGCGGCUCAACGGGGGGCCCGCAUUGGAAACUGUCAUGCUCGAGUACUGGAGGGGCAGGCGGAAUUCCUAGUGUAGCGGUGAAAUGCGUAGAUAUUAGGAGGAACACCGGUGGCGAAGGCGGCCUGCUGGACAGUAACUGACGUUGAGGCUCGAAAGCGUGGGGAGCAAACAGGAUUAGAUACCCUAGUAGUC